RNAcentral lists this small nucleolar RNA (203 nucleotides) under Lottia gigantea (owl limpet). Its description in RNAcentral is "small nucleolar RNA SNORA73 family". The record is from RNAcentral. Lineage: Eukaryota; Metazoa; Mollusca; Gastropoda; Lottiidae.
UCAAUGCCAACAGCCCUUCCUGGACUGUUUUUAUGUGGCAAAAGGUACACGAACAUCUUUAAAGAAAGAUUUGACUUGUUCCAUUCCACAGCAUUGUAGAUAAACCCAGUCCCCUAAUCUUGUAUUGGGUGUGGACUGGAUUCUGUCAAAUCCAUGUGCUUUCAUAGAUUACUAUGUUAAGAUCGAAAUGACAGAAUACAGAC